CAGCCGCCACGGGAAUACGUAGGGUGCAAGCGUUAAUCGGAAUUACUGGGCGUAAAGCGUGCGCAGGCGGUUAUAUAAGACAGAUGUGAAAUCCCCGGGCUCAACCUGGGAACUGCAUUUGUGACUGUAUAGCUAGAGUACGGCAGAGGGGGAUGGAAUUCCGCGUGUAGCAGUGAAAUGCGUAGAUAUGCGGAGGAACACCGAUGGCGAAGGCAAUCCCCUGGGCCUGUACUGACGCUUAUGCACGAAAGCGUGGGGAGCAAACAGGAUUAGAGACCCCUGUAGUCCCUGUCUCUUAUAC
Molecule: ribosomal RNA, 301 nt
Filed under: uncultured bacterium
Lineage: Bacteria
Description: partial 16S ribosomal RNA
Rfam family: Bacterial small subunit ribosomal RNA
Source: RNAcentral